Molecule: transfer RNA, 81 nt
Filed under: Gemmatimonadota bacterium
Lineage: Bacteria; Pseudomonadati; Gemmatimonadota
Description: tRNA-Leu
Rfam family: tRNA
About the family: Transfer RNA (tRNA) molecules are approximately 80 nucleotides in length. Their secondary structure includes four short double-helical elements and three loops (D, anti-codon, and T loops).
Source: RNAcentral
GCGAAAGUGGCGGAAUGGUAGACGCGCUGGAUUUAGGAUCCAGUGGCUCCGGCCGUGGGGGUUCGAGUCCCCCCUUUCGCA